GUUUCGUAGGGUGAACCUGCGGAGGGAUCAUUACCGAGUUUACAACUCCCAAACCCAAUGUGAACGUUACCAAACUGUUGCCUCGGCGGGGUCACGCCCCGGGUGCGUCGCAGCCCCGGAACCAGGCGCCCGCCGGAGGAACCAACCAAACUCUUUCUGUAGUCCCCUCGCGGACGUAUUUCUUACAGCUCUGAGCAAAAAUUCAAAAUGAAUCAAAACUUUCAACAACGGAUCUCUUGGUUCUGGCAUCGAUGAAGAACGCAGCGAAAUGCGAUAAGUAAUGUGAAUUGCAGAAUUCAGUGAAUCAUCGAAUCUUUGAACGCACAUUGCGCCCGCCAGUAUUCUGGCGGGCAUGCCUGUCCGAGCGUCAUUUCAACCCUCGAACCCCUCCGGGGGAUCGGCGUUGGGGAUCGGGACCCCUCACACGGGUGCCGGCCCCGAAAUACAGUGGCGGUCUCGCCGCAGCCUCUCCUGCGCAGUAGUUUGCACAACUCGCACCGGGAGCGCGGCGCGUCCACGUCCGUAAAACACCCAACUAUCUGAAAUCAG
This 549-nucleotide ribosomal RNA is filed under the name Trichoderma harzianum. Its description in RNAcentral is "eukaryotic LSU rRNA". The stretch from base 217 to 370 matches the Rfam family "5.8S ribosomal RNA". Lineage: Eukaryota; Fungi; Ascomycota; Sordariomycetes; Hypocreales; Hypocreaceae. The record is from RNAcentral.